RNAcentral lists this ribosomal RNA (389 nucleotides) under Limosilactobacillus reuteri. Its description in RNAcentral is "bacterial SSU rRNA". It matches the Rfam family "Bacterial small subunit ribosomal RNA", at positions 51 to 442 of the family's 1533-position model. Lineage: Bacteria; Bacillati; Bacillota; Bacilli; Lactobacillales; Lactobacillaceae. The record is from RNAcentral.
GUGCUUGCACCUGAUUGACGAUGGAUCACCAGUGAGUGGCGGACGGGUGAGUAACACGUAGGUAACCUGCCCCGGAGCGGGGGAUAACAUUUGGAAACAGAUGCUAAUACCGCAUAACAACAAAAGCCACAUGGCUUUUGUUUGAAAGAUGGCUUUGGCUAUCACUCUGGGAUGGACCUGCGGUGCAUUAGCUAGUUGGUAAGGUAACGGCUUACCAAGGCGAUGAUGCAUAGCCGAGUUGAGAGACUGAUCGGCCACAAUGGAACUGAGACACGGUCCAUACUCCUACGGGAGGCAGCAGUAGGGAAUCUUCCACAAUGGGCGCAAGCCUGAUGGAGCAACACCGCGUGAGUGAAGAAGGGUUUCGGCUCGUAAAGCUCUGUUGUUGG